Molecule: ribosomal RNA, 253 nt
Filed under: uncultured bacterium
Lineage: Bacteria
Description: partial 16S ribosomal RNA
Rfam family: Bacterial small subunit ribosomal RNA
Source: RNAcentral
GACGUAGGGCGCGAGCGUUGUCCGGAUUUAUUGGGCGUAAAGAGCUCGUAGGCGGUCUGUUGCGUCUGCUGUGAAAACCCGGGGCUUAACCCCUGGCUUGCAGUGGAUACGGACAGACUAGAGGUAGGUAGGGGAGAAUGGAAUUCCCGGUGUAGCGGUGAAAUGCGCAGAUAUCGGGAGGAACACCGGUGGCGAAGGCGGUUCUCUGGGCCUUACCUGACGCUGAGGAGCGAAAGCGUGGGGAGCGAACAGG